GGGGCUCUCUCCAUGUUAGAGAUUGCUAUGAUUUCAUACGUGUAGUUUAAAAUUUUUUUAAAAAUUUAUGUAAUAAAAAUAAAUAAAUUAAAAUAUUUUUAAUUUAAAAUAUGUAUCAGAUCUGAUCUAAAAGCUAUGCUUAGGAUCUUGACACGAACAUAUAGGGUUUCAGGGUGGGCAUGCACAGUGAAAACAUAAUGAAUUUCAAAAUUUUAAUAAAGAAAUCUUAAAUAUUAAACCCUUAAACCAG
RNAcentral lists this long non-coding RNA (250 nucleotides) under Elaeis guineensis (African oil palm). Its description in RNAcentral is "long non-coding RNA (EGUI_LNC055804)". The record is from RNAcentral. Lineage: Eukaryota; Viridiplantae; Streptophyta; Magnoliopsida; Arecales; Arecaceae.